ACGCUGGCGGCACGCCUACACCUGCAAGUCAAACGAAGUAGCAUACUUAGUCGGCAGACGGGUGAGUAACAUGUAGGUAUCUGCCCUUUGGCCUGGAAUAACACGAGGAAACUUGUGCUAAUACCGGAUAAGUCUUUACGGAGAAAGCUUUAUGCACCAUUGGAUGAGCCUGCACUUGAUUAGUUUGUUGGUGGGGUAAUGGCCUACCAAGACUGUGAUCAAUAGCUGAUUUGAGAGGAUGAUCAGCCACAUUGGGACUGAGACACGGCCCAAACUCCUACGGGAGGCAGCAGUGGGGAAUCUUGCACAAUGGAGGAAACUCUGAUGCAGCGAUGCCGCGUGAGUGAAGAAGGCCCUUGGGUUGUAAAGCUCUUUCGUCGGGGAAGAAAAUGACUGUACCCGAAUAAGAAGGUCCGGCUAACUUCGUGCCAGCAGCCGCGGUAAUACGAAGGGACCUAGCGUAGUUACGGAAUUACUGGGCUUAAAGAGUUCGUAGGUGGUUGAAAAAGUUAGUGGUGAAAUCCCAGAGCUUAACUCUGGAACUGCCAUUAAAACUUUUCAGCUAGAGUAUGAUAGAGGAAAGCAGAAUUUCUAGUGUACGAGGUGAAAUUCGUAGAUAUUCAGAACGAAUACCAAUUGCGAAGGCAGCUUUCUGGAUCCUUACUUGACACUGAGGACGAAAGCA
RNAcentral lists this ribosomal RNA (685 nucleotides) under uncultured bacterium. RNAcentral describes it as "bacterial SSU rRNA". It matches the Rfam family "Bacterial small subunit ribosomal RNA", at positions 33 to 761 of the family's 1533-position model. The record is from RNAcentral.